Molecule: transfer RNA, 76 nt
Filed under: Candidatus Acetothermia bacterium
Lineage: Bacteria; Candidatus Bipolaricaulota
Also listed under: 2 other names
Description: tRNA-Thr
Rfam family: tRNA
About the family: Transfer RNA (tRNA) molecules are approximately 80 nucleotides in length. Their secondary structure includes four short double-helical elements and three loops (D, anti-codon, and T loops).
Source: RNAcentral
GCCAGUGUAGCUCAAGGGGUAGAGCAUCCGCCUUGUAAGCGGAAGGUUGCCCGUUCGAGUCGGGCCACUGGCUCCA